AUUGAACGCUGGCGGCAUGCCUUACACAUGCAAGUCGAACGGCAGCACGGGGGCAACCCUGGUGGCGAGUGGCGAACGGGUGAGCAAUGCAUCGGAACGUACCCAGUCGUGGGGGACAACCCCGAGAAAUCGGGGCUAAUACCGCAUACGACCUGCGGGUGAAAGCGGGGGACCUGAUGAGGGCCUCGCGCGAUUGGAGCGGCCGAUGCCGGAUUAGCUAGUUGGUGGGGUAAGAGCCUACCAAGGCGACGAUCCGUAGCGGGUCUGAGAGGACGGC
This 277-nucleotide ribosomal RNA is filed under the name uncultured bacterium. RNAcentral describes it as "partial 16S ribosomal RNA". It matches the Rfam family "Bacterial small subunit ribosomal RNA", at positions 28 to 304 of the family's 1533-position model. The record is from RNAcentral.